Molecule: long non-coding RNA, 486 nt
Organism: Hirundo rustica (Barn swallow)
Lineage: Eukaryota; Metazoa; Chordata; Aves; Passeriformes; Hirundinidae
Exons: 3
Source: RefSeq, a predicted model, not a curated record
GAAGGAAGUGAUUUCAGCAACUUCACAGAAAGCUUAAUGUGGCAUGUCAAAUGGUAAACUGAUGCCUGGAAUAGCUGGAGGCUGAGAGUUGCAGAGCAUCUCAACACAUUUUCCAGGGGAAUAAACCAGAUUCAGGAACCGUGACACAGGCAACAGACUGGGGCCGAGCUGUUGGGAUUCCAGCAAAAAGUACAGCUGGUGCAGGCUGUACUGUACUGGCAGACAGCUGGGAGCACGGAGCUGGGACUGCUCUCACUGCAGGACACUGCUGACUGCCAAUGCCAGCGGUGUGCCAGGGAUGGAAGGGAGCAGGAGAGCUCAGGGACAGUAGUGCUGGGUGACUUGUGGUAGAGAGGAAACUGGCAGCUGAAGACAGAGCUCAAGCACCCUGGACCACCUUUGUUCAUCAGUGUCCUGCUGUUGGUGCCCUUUUUAAAUAUGGAUGCUUUGGAGUUUUGAAAAAGCUCUCUAUAACAGUUAAGGUUA